Molecule: long non-coding RNA, 1528 nt
Filed under: Daucus carota (carrot)
Lineage: Eukaryota; Viridiplantae; Streptophyta; Magnoliopsida; Apiales; Apiaceae
Description: long non-coding RNA (DCAR_LNC004304)
Source: RNAcentral
GUACUUUUAGUUAUAUAUGGACAGACACAACCAAGUAGGAGUAGUUAUGUUAAUUGCAUUAAAAAGCAUACCAAUUUAUACUCAGGAUCAAAGUAGCCGAAGGUACCAAGAACUGUGGCGGUAACACAGUUUUCAUGCCCAUCUGGCAUGAACUUUGCAAGCCUGAAAUUUGAUAUCUGAGAAAUUCGACAAUUUAACUUUGUAAGAACAGGAACAUAAAGCUAAUCUCUGUCCUUUAUAAGAGAGAACAGAGGAUAAUUUACCUUUGCCUCAUAGUUAUCGUUCAAAAGGAUAUUGGUGGAUUUGAAGUCCCUGUGAACUAUAGGAGCUCCAAUCUCUGUACUUGAAUGGAGAAAAGCAAGUCCUCUCGCUGCUUCAUUAAAAAGAACACUAAGAUUGGUAAGCAUGCACAUGCACCAUACCAAUUACCAUAUCAUUAAUCUCAGAGACCAAUUUUUGAGGGCAUAUUUACAGCUGCAUCCUUGUUCGCAAGCUUACUAAGACACAUGAGAAGUUUCAAAUGGAUAUGUGUCUUCAGCUUAUCCACGUCGGGUACAUUUAGGCAAAAUUGCAGAGUUCGACUGAAAUCUUGCACUUGUAAUGAGUUAGCCUUUCUGUCAGUCGGUUGUGCAGUUCAUGCGCUGUGUUGGUGAAACAAAGUAGUAGUAUUUGUUUAUCUGGCUGUAUAUGGGAGCAUAAUACGGGAUCUUAAUUUAAUAAACAUAAUACAGUAGACUCUUAUGUAGAAAAAGAGAGGGGGAGAAUCAGGAAUGAGCUUAUGUAAAUGAUAUCUUUCAGCUCUCUAUUUAAUUAUUUUUCUAUAAAUUCAUUGUUCUCGCAAAUAAUCUAAAGAUCUUUGCUGAAUUAUUACCAAUAAAUUUUGGGUAUGGGAGUUGGGAUAUUUUUUCCCAGGACAUCAUUGAAACCAGGUUAUAUUUUACUAAGUACGACGAUUAAUGGCAACUGAAGGAGACCUGGUUUGUUCAUCCACAUCCAUAUCUUUUAUGUUACUACGUUUCUAUAUUUGUUUCUAAGAUUCAUUUUGAAUUCUGAUAGUAACAGCAGCAAGUGAUUCAUUGAAUAAGAAGGCAGUAGCAGCAGUACUAUAAGCUCUUAGUUCAGAUUUCCACAGGCCAACAUACUUAUAUAUUAGGUGCUGAGUCGUUGCUGAAAACGACCACCAGUAAGAAUCUGAAUGCGGUCACAAUUUAUUGAUAAACCGAACCAAUGACAGAUUAUUCUUCUGGUUGCUUUGCCUAGACGCCUGAACUAUGUUCUUCAUGUUGAAUUAAAUGGAUCUGGUGUAGUACUUUUAGUUAUAUAUGGACAGACACAACCAAGUAGGAGUAGUUAUGUUAAUUGCAUUAAAAAGCAUACCAAUUUAUACUCAGGAUCAAAGUAGCCGAAGGUACCAAGAACUGUGGCGGUAACACAGUUUUCAUGCCCAUCUGGCAUGAACUUUGCAAGCCUGAAAUUUGAUAUCUGAGAAAUUCGACAAUUUAACUUUGUAAGAACAGGAACAUAAAGC